CCCUUAGAUGUUCUGGGCUGCACACGUGCUACACUGGCAGGUUCAGCGAGCUUCAUGCCCUGAUCUGAAAGGAAUGGGAAAUCUUUUCAAAACCUGCCGUGCUUGGGAUAGAUGUUUGCAAUUAUUCAUCUUCAACGAGGAUUGCCUUGUAAGCGCACGUCAUCAGCGUGCAUUGAAUACGACCCUGUAUUCUGUACACACCGCCUGUCGCUCCUACCGAUUGAAGUUUUCGGUGAGUUGACAGGAGGAUUUUUUUGAAACUGGUUCGCCAGUGGAUUUUAGAUCCAAAUGCCAACGAAUCGAUGGCUUUAGAGGAAGGAGAAGUCGUAACA
This 332-nucleotide ribosomal RNA is filed under the name uncultured eukaryote. Its description in RNAcentral is "partial 18S ribosomal RNA". It matches the Rfam family "Eukaryotic small subunit ribosomal RNA", at positions 1470 to 1796 of the family's 1831-position model. The record is from RNAcentral.